UGGUUAGCUGCCUGGUGCGGGUGCUGAGUUGACCUAGGGUUCUGUUUCGCUGGGGUUGGCAUUUUGUACAGCCAAUACAACCGAGAAUGAUGGCCGUCGGAGCUCGGAGUGAAUACAGCGAAUGAUUCCAAUAGGAACCACGGACUCUGAUCUGGCUGGGACCAUCUCAUAAUGUUUGUGUACAUUCCUGUUGUCUUCUACCUCCCAUCCACCGUGUCUCUCUACUGCCUAUAACCAGCCUACAUAAGGCCCUGAACAGACUGGAUGAUGCCCACCCACACGGAUGAAGGGCGGAUGUUGUUUACUCAGUCUGCUGAUUCCAACGCUAAUCUUUUCCAGAAACACCAUCACAGACACACCGAGAAAUAAUGCUUUAUCACCUAUGUGGGCAUUCUUGAGCCCAAUCAAGUUGCCACAUGAAAUUUACCAUCACACCUACCUGUCCACCUCUGCCCACACCUACUUUAAGUUUAACCCAAUAAUAAAUGAGACUUAAUCUCAUUUUUAGAGCCCUCCAAUGAAAAAUUUGUUAUUGUACUUCAUAAGACUUUUUGAUAUUUAACAGGUCUCAAGAAAGAUUUUUUUUGGCAAAAGCCAUACUUACACAAAGAAGACAUGGGUUUUAGACUGACUUUGGCCCUUUCUACCUGUAGGGUCACAUACUUUCACAAUAUGGACAAAAUGAUGCUACUGUGCCUUUCCCACAGGAUUGCUGUAUAAAUCAUUUGUGAAUUCUAAGAUUAUUGAGAUGAUUAUGCUUAUGAAUAUCUUAUUAUAUAAUAACUUUUCCCAUUUUAAAAAGAAUUGCAUUUAUAGACAUAAAUGACUAAGGUGGCUUUUAAAAUUCCCGAAGAAAAUCUUUUUAGAUAUAUACCAUUCUAAUGACUUGUAUUUAUUAGACAAGUCUGGAUUUAAAAAUGGGAGUUUAUAGUCAUUUAAGCCAACUAAUAAUAAUAUCUAAGGAGCCUGGAUGAGUAAAGACUCUUCAAUUCACAGUCAAAUGCCAAGUGAGGCUUAUAUUUUCGUUAGGAAAGUUUCGCCAGGGUGAUUGUUUUAAUUACUUUUAUUGGAAUAACAGUAGCUAAUAAAGCAAUCCAGAUUGUUACCAAGCUCAGUAGGAGAGAAAAUAAUAGGAUGUCUUCACAUCUUAUGACUAGAAAUCAUGUCCUCAGAUACUUUGUUUCUUCCUCUUUCAUUGUGGUGUGAAAAGUAGAAAGAAAGCUCCCCUCUGCAGGGGAAGUUUUAUAGAGAUGGUAACCUGGUUAUACUCUGUCUUUUAGGAAUCCUUGCAGAGUUGGGAAUAGCACAUUUCUCACUAUAUAUAUAUAUAUAUAUAUAUAUAUAUAUAUAUAUAUAAUAUAUAUAUGGUAAUUUUUGUGUGGAUUUAUAUUACCUUUGAUCCCCAGACAUUGUUUGAAAAACUUGAGGAAGGAGGAAAAAGAAUCAGAUGGUGACGGAACUCAUGUGGCUGACUGAG
RNAcentral lists this long non-coding RNA (1477 nucleotides) under Homo sapiens (human). Its description in RNAcentral is "HSALNT0139125". The record is from RNAcentral. Lineage: Eukaryota; Metazoa; Chordata; Mammalia; Primates; Hominidae.